Long non-coding RNA from Vitis riparia (riverbank grape), 757 nucleotides. RefSeq lists it as uncharacterized. The record is from RefSeq and is a predicted model, not a curated record. The transcript is spliced from 2 exons. NCBI's taxonomy places the organism in Eukaryota, Viridiplantae, Streptophyta, Magnoliopsida, Vitales, Vitaceae.
AAGUCCAAAAUAAAAUCAAAUAUGAUAAAAAUUAUUUAAAAUUUAUACUUUAUAUAGAAAAGUAAAGAAUUGAAGAGGUGUGGAAGAAAAAUUGAUUGAGUUUAGAUAUCAUUUUUAUUUUCUUUGAUUCCCAUUUUCCUUCGUAUUUUCUUUUCGUUCUACUUUCCCUCAUAAUCUAUGUUCCUAAUAGAGCGAGCCUAAAGGCAAAUUGUGUUAAGAAUUUGAAGGGGUAUGGAGGAAAAAUUUAUUGAGUUUAGAUAUCAUUUUUAUUUUCAUUUACUUUUUCUUAGAUUCUCAUUUUCCUUCUUAUUUUCUUUCCCUCCUACUUUCCCUCACAAUCUAUGUUCCAAAUAGAGCCUAAAGGCAAAUUGUGUUUUUGACCUUAGUCCAUUCUUUUUUGGCUCGCAUUUUUCCUUUGUAUAUUGAAUAUCGAUCUUUUUUUUUCCUAAACCAUGAGAGGAUUGGUUGAAAUCUGCUGCUGAAAGAUGUAGGGAUGGCGACAAGGAGAAGAAGAUUAAGCAUUGACCUAUGUGGUGAUCUAAAAGAAAAUCCUUAUCAGGGAUUAUGCAAUUGGUGCAAGAUUCUGCUCCGGGAAAAUGCCACUGAUCUUGAGAGCCUGGAUUUUAAAUUUAAGCAUAAUUGGGAAUUUCUUCUCCUUCUUGUCUUUCAUUUUUCCCUUGCCCCCUGAAAAUGAUAUUUGUGCUUUUAUGAUGAUGAAUUGGUUACUCUUGCUAUAAACUCCUUUCAAAUUUGAGAA